Molecule: long non-coding RNA, 749 nt
Filed under: Musa acuminata (dwarf banana)
Lineage: Eukaryota; Viridiplantae; Streptophyta; Magnoliopsida; Zingiberales; Musaceae
Description: long non-coding RNA (MACU_LNC001055)
Source: RNAcentral
AGUUUGUGGAGCAUCAUUUGAAGUUCCCUCCAUCUGUCCCACAUGACAGACUCUCACAUGUGUAUACUGCUAUUCUGAAGCCCGAUAAUGAGUUGAAAAUUUUGAUUGAUGGAGAAGAAAAGAAAACAACAAAUUUCUUGUCUGCUGAUGACUUUGAGCCAGCACUUGUUCCACCGAAGACCAUACCUGAUCCUGAUGAUAAGAAACCCGAGGACUGGGAUGAGAGGGCAAAAAUACCGGACCCUGAUGCUGUAAAACCAGACGACUGGGAUGAAGAUGCACCAAUGGAGAUUGAAGAUGAGGAAGCCGUCAAACCCGAAGGAUGGUUGGAUGAUGAACCUGAAGAAAUUGAUGAUCCUGAAGCCACAAAACCAGAAGAUUGGGACGAUGAAGAGGAUGGAGAAUGGGAAGCACAAAAAAUAGACAACCCAAAGUGCGAAGCAGCACCUGGCUGUGGAGAGUGGAAGAAGCCAAUGAAGCACAACCCAGCAUACAAGGGAAAAUGGCACGCUCCUUUAAUCGACAACCCAAACUACAAGGGUAUCUGGAAGCCACAAGAGAUAGAUAACCCUGACUACUUCGAGCUUGACAAACCAGACUUUGAGCCAAUCGCCGCUAUUGGCAUUGAGAUUUGGACGAUGCAGGAUGGCAUUCUCUUUGACAAUAUUUUGAUUUCUACUAAUGAGAAAGUUGCCGAGUCAUACAGGGCAGACACAUGGAAGCCUAAAUAUGAAAUCGAGAAAGAAAAG